This is a long non-coding RNA of Dermacentor silvarum, 773 nucleotides long. RefSeq lists it as uncharacterized. The record is from RefSeq and is a predicted model, not a curated record. NCBI's taxonomy places the organism in Eukaryota, Metazoa, Arthropoda, Arachnida, Ixodida, Ixodidae. The transcript is spliced from 4 exons.
CCUAAAGAUCGUGCUGCGAAAAGCAGGGACUGAACAACGUCACUACUGCAGCGAUGUUUAAUGCUUUCGCUGCUGCUCUUAACGCCGGACAAUACGCUUUAUAUUUCGGGCAAUAAGAAAGUUCUACCAGCCUCCCCAAAUUGUGCAGAACGACCCUGCCAUGAAACAUUUGGCCUGCCUACUACUUCUUUUUUGCUGCGUCCAUUGCGUUCUCGCCCUGAAAAAUGCGGUGGUUAGGUUUUGCAUGACACCAAGCACGGUUCGUACAUGCCGAGAACAUGGCCAAUCUUGGGGUAUUGAUUUCGUGACCCGAGUGUGUAAAUUAUUCGUACCUGAUACUUGCAAUUCAACAACCCCAAGCAAGUUCGUUUCAGAAAAAAUGUGUCAACGCAUUUGCCUACCGCCACCAAAGCGAAAACUCUUGUGCAGCCUCAUGCCGAAACCAGGCCCCUGCUCUACGAGUAAUCGAACGUGGCACUUCGAUGCCAGCACCGGCUUCUGUAAACAUUUUGCAGGCGGAAAAUGCGGAACCAAUUCUAAUAGCUUUUCCUCGUGCGAAAAGUGUACGAAGAGAUGCAGUGAUCGUAAUGUGGACGCAGUGUGCGUCCUGCCUCAGAAACCGAAGACGAAGCCAGAACAUAAACCAAAACUACAUGUACAAAAUGUACCGGCCCGGCCUCCCCUAACAGGGCCAGAAUAAAUAAUUGGACGGCUGUUUCAUUCUCCCCGAGCCUGCACAAUAACGCCAGAAUAAAGUAUUUGGUCCUCAUGCA